Long non-coding RNA from Chelonia mydas (Green sea turtle), 979 nucleotides. RefSeq lists it as uncharacterized. The record is from RefSeq and is a predicted model, not a curated record. The transcript is spliced from 4 exons. Lineage: Eukaryota; Metazoa; Chordata; Testudines; Cheloniidae.
AUCCUAGUUCCCUUUGUGAAAUUAUGCAAUAUCUGUGUGAGAGUGAGAUCCUAGAACCCAGAGGAACUCAGGUGCUCAAGGGGGAGGAAGCAGGGGCAGCUGGACCCAAUUAAUUUGCUAGCAGUUUGCCUGUAGCAAAACCAAGCAGAAAGGAACCAACUCCUCUAGAGAGAAACAACUCUUUGUCCUGGCUUCAAAUCGACCCAUCCUAAGGCACAGCCAUGUCUCCCCAAUACCUUAGGAGUCAAUCCUGCAUACUACUCUCCCUCCAGGAAAGACUCCAUACCCGUAUGAAGGUCUAUUCUGCCCUCCUGCUGGUCCUAUUGCUAGCUUCUUUGGUCCAGGAUGUAGAUGAACUAAGCCUGGUUUCUGGAUAUCAGUUGCCCAGUGAGGACCACACCCAACAGAAGGGAUGAUGGGAAUUUACUGGAAGGCAAAGAAUCCUUUUGGACUAAGCCAACAGAGUAUUGUAGUCUGAGGAAUGUUCAAGGACACCUCUCCUGCUGCCUGCAUUUCUAGAGAAACACCUUCUACGUCAUCUGAUUUAAAAAACAAAGAUGAUAACCUUUGAAGCAGCCCAAAGUGAAACACUCCACAAAUAGCUUUAAAACAAAUAUUCUUGAGGCAGGUACUGAAGCUGAACCUGGCUUUAACCAGAUGGGGGAAACCCCUCUGCUAUUAGCUUUUCUCCUGCUGGUAUUUGGAGGAAUGUUCAAGGGCACAUCGGCUGCUGUCUGCAUUUCUAGGUAGUAGAUUUUGGACCUAAAAUUUACUGGCCAGCUAGAAGAACAAUACUGCAAAACCAAUUUAGCUCUCACAGCUGAGCCUCACUUAACUGGAAUUAUUUAUCCUUUCAGCUUGCAGAAAUGGGUCUAUGGUGGCCUUCUAGGCCCAUACACCAAAAAUAACUGUAAAACCACACACGUAUCAGCAGAACUAGUGUCAACUAAAGAUAAUAAAGAACUUCAUCAUCAAACCA